CUGGCGGCGUGCCUAACACAUGCAAGUCGAACGGGAAAACAGGGGCAACUCUGUGAGUACAGUGGCGUACGGGUGAGUAACACGUGACUACCUACCCUCGAGUGGGGGAUAACCCCGGGAAACCGGGGCUAAUACCGCAUAACAUCACAAGAUCAAAGGAGCAAUUCGCUUGAGGAGGGGGUCGCGGCUGAUUAGCUAGUUGGUGAGGUAACGGCCCACCAAGGCGAUGAUCGGUAGCCGGCCUGAGAGGGCGCACGGCCACACUGGAACUGAAACACGGUCCAGACUCCUACGGGAGGCAGCAGUGGGGAAUUUCGCGCAAUGGGGGAAACCCUGACGCAGCAACGCCGCGUGGAGGAUGAAGUCCCUUGGGACGUAAACUCCUUUCGACCCGGACGAUAAUGACGGUACGGGUGGAAGAAGCACCGGCUAACUUCGUGCCAGCAGCCGCGGUAAUACGAGGGGUGCGAGCGUUGUUCGGAAUUAUUGGGCGUAAAGGGCGCGUANGCGGUGCGGUAAGUCACCUGUGAAAUCUCCCGGCUCAACUGGGAGCUUG
RNAcentral lists this ribosomal RNA (556 nucleotides) under uncultured bacterium. Its description in RNAcentral is "bacterial SSU rRNA". It matches the Rfam family "Bacterial small subunit ribosomal RNA", at positions 36 to 623 of the family's 1533-position model. The record is from RNAcentral.